UACAGUUUUUCUAUGCUAAACUCUGUCCUAGUCAGUUCUAGAGUGUAUGAAGAACCAAAUGAUGUAAUUGUAUGCGACCUGGCUGUAGUGGAACAAAUUUGACUCUAAAGUAUGCAGGCUCUAAUUUUCCUGUCUGGUUUUGCCCCCACAUCACCCAACCAACCAGCAGAGAUCCUCCUUCCCAAGAAACAGAUAAAGAAACUGAGGCCCAGGAAGGCUAAGAGUCCUGCCAGGAUUAUUCACCUUUCAAGCAGCCAAGCAAGCACUGGCUGUGAGAGAUGGCUGUGAGAGAAGAUUAAAACAAUUACAACUCACCCAGUUCACAGAUGCUGAGUAACUGAUCUCCUGCCCCACUAACCUUAACGACAGCUUUCUCUGGACAAGGGACUGAUUUCAGUAACUUUCUCCUGAUAAGAGACCAUCCUCCAUGGACUGGUUCUGGCCAGUUUUAGAGGCUGUGCCUUUACGAGGCUGAGUACCUUCAUGUCCCUGCUUCACUUUUUGAUGUGUAGGGCCUAAUUAUAAUACAUUUAAAUGUCAAGUCUCCACCCCAGAAUGAACAUGCAUGUUUAUUGAAUAUGCAUGUGUUAGGACCUCUUUUAUGAGUAUUCUCAUAAAAUGAUAUAGCUCCUCUGAUAUCCUAUUGAGUAUGUAUAUGUAGCCAACUCAUUUGGCUCAAAUUCCUGUCCUCUCCCUCCCUCCCUGGAAAUGCCUGCCUCUGGCCUUGGCUGUAGGCCACACUUCCCAGCCUGUCAUAAUGGCCACCUUGCAGACUGCAAACCUUUAUAAGAAAUAAAGCUCUCUUUUCUAAAUUUAUAAAAUUGUGUGAUUUUUCAGUUGAUCCUCUCUUUCUACACACACACACACACACACACACACACACAUGCAAUUUAUACAGAAGGAAAUCUGGAGAAUAU
This 917-nucleotide long non-coding RNA is filed under the name Homo sapiens (human). RNAcentral describes it as "HSALNT0379665". The record is from RNAcentral. Lineage: Eukaryota; Metazoa; Chordata; Mammalia; Primates; Hominidae.